RNAcentral lists this ribosomal RNA (398 nucleotides) under uncultured bacterium. RNAcentral's name for it is "partial 16S ribosomal RNA". It matches the Rfam family "Bacterial small subunit ribosomal RNA", at positions 523 to 918 of the family's 1533-position model. The record is from RNAcentral.
AUACGUAGGGUGCGAGCGUUGUCCGGAAUUACUGGGCGUAAAGAGCUCGUAGGUGGUUUGUCGCGUCGUCUGUGAAAUUCCGGGGCUUAACUCCGGGCGUGCAGGCGAUACGGGCAUAACUUGAGUACUGUAGGGGAGACUGGAAUUCCUGGUGUAGCGGUGAAAUGCGCAGGUAUCAGGAGGAACACCGGUGGCGAAGGCGGGUCUCUGGGCAGUAACUGACGCGGAGGAGCGAAAGCAUGGUUAGCGAACAGGAUGAGAUACCAUGGUAGUCCAGGCCGUAAACGGUGGGCGCUAGGUGUAGGGGUCUUCCACGACUUCUGUGCCGUAGCAAACGCAUUAAGCGCCCCGCCUGGGGAGUACGGCCGCAAGGCUGAAACUCAAAUGAAUUGACGGGG